This is a long non-coding RNA of Sarcophilus harrisii (Tasmanian devil), 1130 nucleotides long. RefSeq lists it as uncharacterized. The transcript has 3 exons. The record is from RefSeq and is a predicted model, not a curated record. Lineage: Eukaryota; Metazoa; Chordata; Mammalia; Dasyuromorphia; Dasyuridae.
UAUAAGGAAUCAAGAGCAUGUAUCCCUGGUUUGAGAGAUGUUUCUGUAACAAAUAUCUUUGUUUUACUUGCUUAGCAAAUACCCUUUCUAAAUGUCAAUUCAAACUGAUAAUAGAGAGCACAUAGGUUAGGGCUCCUAAAUAUAUCAGAAACUCCAAUAACUCCCAGGUUUCACCCUAGAAUCCUGUUCAGCCAAUGUAUGUUCAGACUGGGGCUGUGAAUCCAAAAGGGAUGCUGGCCCAGAUUUAAUACUAGUUCAAGCUACUGGUCAAACACAUUGAAGCUAUUACAGUUUCAGAGGGUUCCCUGGUAAUCUGGAGUUCAGGGAGGGAUGGGGGCUGAAGUUGCUUUGUGACUAUUUCUUACUAUGAUCACUCAUUGUUAUUUGUGCAGUUGCUCAAUGAAUUGCUUGUUGUUGAUUCACUCAGGCUAUGUGGGCAGCAAUGUGGUCAAAAUGGGCUUCAAGCCAAGCCACCUGGGUUCUAGUCCCAGCUCAGUUGUUAAUCCACUGGAUACUAACAUAUAUUGAUUAGUCACAUGUCCCCAACCUGGGUCAUCUUCCUGUUUAUCCUACUAUAUUCUUCAAUAAGGAUUUCAAGAGGACAUACGCUAGAACAGGAUGUAUCAGAUAUGCUGGAUGAGACAAGUUUUUUCCAAGGCAUGAAAAGAAGCUGUAUGUCAAGGGUCCAUUCUACAAGUACAGUCACAGCCAAUUACAGUCCCAAGCAGCAAGAAGGAGGGAACAAAGAUAUUGACACUUCUCCUUCCCUGCAACCUACUCCCCACCAAUUAAAAUUCUGAGAAGCUCAAAGGAGACUGAAAAGUGAGAAGCAAAGAUAGUAUCUGAAAAGUCUAGGAGGAUAAAUGUGGGAAAGUCCAGUCAUGUAUCUCCACCCAUGGAUAUGUUGUAUAUGAUCACACAGACACAGGAAAUGGGAAACUGUACAAGUACUUUGAACUGCUGAAUGUCACUGAAUAAAAAACCACAACAGUAUGUUAUAUGAUUUCUGUGUAUCAGAGUAUCUCAUUCCAAUGCUGACCUAGAAGAUGGGAGAAGUGGCACCUUAGCAGUACUUGCCUAUUAUCCAGGUUCUUUGAAUUAGAUCUCUUCAUUACCUGAGCAAAUAAAUC